AGUCAAUAGAUACCCGGGUAGUCCACGCCGUAAACGAUGUCGACUUGGAGGUUGUGCCCUUGAGGCGUGGCUUCCGGAGCUAAACGCGUUAAGUCGACCGCCUGGGGAGUACGGCCGCAAGGUUAAAACUCAAAUGAAUUGACGGGGGCCCGCACAAGCGGUGGAGCAUGUGGUUUAAUUCGAUGCAACGCGAAGAACCUUACCUACUCUUGACAUCCAGAGAACUUAGCAGAGAUGCUUUGGUGCCUUCGGGAACUCUGAGACAGGUGCUGCAUGGCUGUCGUCAGCUCGUGUUGUGAAAUGUUGGGUUAAGUCCCGCAACGAGCGCAACCCUUAUCCUUUGUUGCCAGCGGUUAGGCCGGGAACUCAAAGGAGACUGCCAGUGGUAAACUGGAGGAAGGUGGGGAUGACGUCAAGUCAUCAUGGCCCUUACGAGUAGGGCUACACACGUGCUACAAUGGCGCAUACAAAGAGAAGCGACCUCGCGAGAGCAAGCGGACCUCAUAAAGUGCGUCGUAGUCCGGAUUGGAGU
Molecule: ribosomal RNA, 532 nt
Filed under: uncultured bacterium
Lineage: Bacteria
Description: bacterial SSU rRNA
Rfam family: Bacterial small subunit ribosomal RNA
Source: RNAcentral